Molecule: long non-coding RNA, 570 nt
Organism: Homo sapiens (human)
Lineage: Eukaryota; Metazoa; Chordata; Mammalia; Primates; Hominidae
Source: Ensembl
AAGAUGCAACGCGACCUCCUUCCCACAGCAACGAAAGACUGCGACUCCCCGGACUAUCAGGCCGGGAGAGUCCACUUCCAGCUCACCUCGGAGCUCCGGGAGCCUUUCAGCACCUGCUUGGUGAGCGCGAUUACGUCAGUACCACAGGUGGUCACCUUCUCCGUGAGAAGCCCCUUCACGGACUGACCGAACCGCGCUUGAGACUCUGGCGUUCCAGUCGCCAUCAUUUCAGUUAGCGAACGGUUGCGCACUGACGAUGACGGAGUCUUGCCCUGUCACCCAGGCUGGAGUACACGGGUGUGAUCUUGGCUCACUGCAACCUCCGCCUCCCGGGUUCAAGCGAUUCUCCUGCCUCAGCCUCCCAAGUAGCUGGGACUACAGAUGGAGUCUUGCUCUGUCACCCAGGCUGGAGUGCAGUGGUGCAAUCUCGGCUCACUACAAGCUCUGCCUCCCAGGUUCACACCAUUCUCCUGCCUCAGUCUCCGGAGUAGCUGGGACUACAGGUGCCCGCCACCACGCCCGGCUAAUUUUUUGUACUUUUAGUAGAGACGGAGUUUCACCGUGUUAGCC